This 801-nucleotide ribosomal RNA is filed under the name uncultured bacterium. RNAcentral's name for it is "bacterial SSU rRNA". It matches the Rfam family "Bacterial small subunit ribosomal RNA", at positions 66 to 845 of the family's 1533-position model. The record is from RNAcentral.
AAGAUCGCCCUAGCUUGCUAGAGCAUUAUAUCUUCAGUGGCGGACGGGUGAGUAACACGUGAGUUACCUGCCCCGGAGUGGGGGAUAGCCCAGCGAAAGCUGGAUUAAUACCGCAUGUGGCUCUCUUUUUUGAAAGAAUAGCCAAAGGUGCCCUCGGGUGCCGCUCCGGGAUGGGCUCGCGGCCUAUCAGCUUGUUGGUGGGGUAACGGCCUACCAAGGCUACGACGGGUAGCUGGUCUGAGAGGAUGAUCAGUCACACUGGAACUGAGACACGGUCCAGACACCUACGGGUGGCAGCAGUCGAGAAUCAUUCGCAAUGGGGGAAACCCUGACGGUGCGACGCCGCGUGGAGGACAUGAAGGCCCUAGGGUUGUAAACUCCUGUCAUCGGUGAGUAAGGCACGAUCGUUAACAGCGGUCGUGAUUGAUAGUAGCCGAAGAGGAAGAGACGGCUAACUCUGUGCCAGCAGCCGCGGUAAUACAGAGGUCUCAAGCGUUGUUCGGAAUCACUGGGCGUAAAGUGUGCGUAGGCGGUGAGGCAAGUCAGAUGUGAAAGCCCGGGGCUCAACCUCGGAACUGCAUCCGAUACUACCUCACUAGAGUAGUGGAGGGGAGUCUGGAAUUCUCGGUGUAGCAGUGAAAUGCGUAGAUAUUGAGAGGAACACUAGUGGCGAAGGCGAGACUCUGGACACUCACUGACGCUGAGGCACGAAGGCUAGGGUAGCGAAAGGGAUUAGAUACCCCUGUAGUCCUAGCAGUAAACGGUGCUCGCUUGGUGUGCGCGGAUUCGACCCCGUGCGUG